UUUUUGUGGUUAGUGUUAUGAUGUCCCGAUAUAGAUAAUCUUGAAGUAAAUCUUGAUUCUUAGAUCAACUAGAGAACUCUCAGGAAACUUCCUCUCUUCCCAUAAAAAUUAAUUAUAUAGUUAUCCUUGGGCGAUCUUGGAUCUUAAUUAGUACACUCACGUUCUCUGUGGAAAAUCGAUACUCUGGAAUACUCCCGGGUGAAAGCUACAUCGGUAUCCGUGCGCUUGCGGAUUUUUCUGUUUGCGUUUAAAAUACCCAACAACAAGAAGCGCC
RNAcentral lists this long non-coding RNA (274 nucleotides) under Sorghum bicolor (sorghum). RNAcentral's name for it is "long non-coding RNA (SBIC_LNC012832)". The record is from RNAcentral. Lineage: Eukaryota; Viridiplantae; Streptophyta; Magnoliopsida; Poales; Poaceae.